This is a non-coding RNA of Paramuricea clavata, 345 nucleotides long. NCBI's taxonomy places the organism in Eukaryota, Metazoa, Cnidaria, Anthozoa, Malacalcyonacea, Plexauridae. The record is from the annotation of a GenBank genome assembly.
CACUGAGCUAUACUAUAUUACUGGAGGAAGUGCUCGGCAAAAAAAGUGUCCGCAAAAACAUGGCGGAUUUUCGCGCCAUAUGACGCCAUUUCCAUGACAACUGGUUCCUCCGGCUCAUGAAAUUACCACUGACCAGGCUCAAUUCUGAGCCCGCUACAAUUUUCACCCCCCCCUGGUUUUAUCAAAAAUAUUUUUGCUUUUCGACGUUUUUGCAGUAAAUUCUCGUUGUUUUUUAUAUUUUUUCGACUUUUGACCAUUGGUUCAAAAAUUUAAAAGUCGUACACACUAUUCUCACCCGCGAAAGACAAAAAACCGAUAUGAAAACCCCGAAAAAUUUAGGCAAAG